Molecule: long non-coding RNA, 429 nt
Organism: Sapajus apella (tufted capuchin)
Lineage: Eukaryota; Metazoa; Chordata; Mammalia; Primates; Cebidae
Exons: 3
Source: RefSeq, a predicted model, not a curated record
UGCCUCAGUUUUAUCCUGCCUCAGUUUUAUUGAACACGGCUUUUGCUAAGCUUCUAAAAAGCCAGCUGCUGCUUUGCAGGAUUGAUUUUUUUUCCUCUCUUCAUAUUCUUUUCAUCAGGCUUAAAUAUCAAAGCAAGCCCUAGAUGGUAUAGCUUUCUUUUAGAAAGGGGAAAGUUUGAUAUUUCUUUUGAGACUUUCCCAAAAUAGUAUCUUGCUUAUGGGUCAGCAACAUGUACAAUAAUUGUGUAGUUUCAUGAUGUGGAAUAUUCUGUUGUCCACGAGUAACUGAGUAAAUUAGAAAUGACAGUAUUUUGGAAUGUAAAUCCCCUUUCUUGCUUUUUAAUUUUUAGUUGACAUGUAAUAAUUGUACAUAUUGGUCCGGGCACGGUGGCUUAUGCCUGUAAUCCCAGCACUUUGGAGAGUUGAGCG